UACGUAGGGUGCGAGCGUUGUCCGGAAUUAUUGGGCGUAAAGGGCGCGUAGGCGGGCUGUCAAGUCUGGGGUGAAAUCCCGCGGCUCAACCGUGGAACUGCCUUAGAUACUGACGGCCUCGAGGGAGGUAGGGGCGAGCGGAACUGUGAGUGGAGCGGUGAAAUGCGUUGAUAUUCACAGGAACUCCGGUGGCGAAGGCGGCUCGCUGGACCUCUUCUGACGCUGAGGCGCGAAAGCUAGGGGAGCAAACGGG
RNAcentral lists this ribosomal RNA (253 nucleotides) under uncultured bacterium. RNAcentral describes it as "partial 16S ribosomal RNA". It matches the Rfam family "Bacterial small subunit ribosomal RNA", at positions 524 to 776 of the family's 1533-position model. The record is from RNAcentral.